ACACGUAGGGGGCGAGCGUUGUCCGGAAUUACUGGGUGUAAAGGGCGUGUAGGCGGGGGUGCAAGUCGUCGGUAAAAACCCGUAGCUCAACUACGGGCUUGCCGGUGAAACUGUAUCUCUUGAGUUCAGGAGAGGGAAGUGGAAUUUCCGGAGUAGCGGUGAAAUGCGUAGAUACCGGAAAGAAUACCAGUGGCGAAGGCGGCUUCCUAUUCUGCAACUGACGCUGAGACGCGAAAGCUAGGGUAGCGAACGGGAUUAGAUACCCCGGUAGUCCUAGCUGUAAACGAUGGUCACUAGGUGUAGGUAGUGUCAAGCUAUCUGUGCCGGCGUUAACGCAAUAAGUGACCCACCUGGGGACUACGGCCGCAAGGCUGAA
Molecule: ribosomal RNA, 376 nt
Filed under: uncultured bacterium
Lineage: Bacteria
Description: bacterial SSU rRNA
Rfam family: Bacterial small subunit ribosomal RNA
Source: RNAcentral